RNAcentral lists this long non-coding RNA (3898 nucleotides) under Venturia canescens. RNAcentral's name for it is "uncharacterized LOC122415385". Lineage: Eukaryota; Metazoa; Arthropoda; Insecta; Hymenoptera; Ichneumonidae. The record is from RNAcentral.
CGACGAUCCAACCGUUUUAUCGUUGCGUGCAUUUCAGAGAACUUUGUUAGAGAAUCUGGAAAGUGCAUCCAAACAAAUAAAUAGUUGUCCAACCAAAAUCAUAAUUCCGACGAUUUGGUGAUUCAUCGACAGGAAAUUUUCAUGGAUUACUCGAAAAAAAAUGGAUCAUUCGUAUUCACCAAAAAUAUUGUUCGAACCAUUAAAUUUUUGUUCAACAAAAUCGACUUCGUUCAAUUCACGAAUUUUUAUUUCUCAACUAUAAAAUGUGUGCCCACGACACAAAAACUCCACAAUUUUCACGAAGCUCACGUUCUCACACUAGAAUACAAAAUAUAGUAUAAACGAACACCAGGGCGACUGUUACAUAUUUUUCCUAAGAAGCAAAACUGUUCAAGAUUCACAUUAGAAUUCAGUAUUAAUAUUUUCCUCUGGAAUGCAGCAAAAAUAUUUCGAGUCCUCACCUUCAAACAUUUUUACGAAAACAUCGAAUUUCAGGGGAAUUUUUUUCCAACUUUUUAACCAACUACUAAAAUAUGCCCACACGAGUUCAGAGCACGUCGAUUUAUGUAAUCACCCGAAUAGGGACACAUCAAAUAAACUGAGUUCUCAAGCGACAGGUGUUUUUAUCGCAUGUGCACAGGUGCAUACAUUUAAAAGCACGAAUUAAUACGGAAAAAAGCUGCAAGGCCUUCCGGUUUUAUAUAUUUAACACAUUUAAUUAUAUUCGUACAAAAAUGGAUAAUGCAGAGGCUCUGCAGCAGUCAACAAAGGAUCAUGUGAGAUUCGUCAUGAUGGAAAAACGUUUCAUGGAAGUCGAGACCAAAAGCCCCAUCGAGAGGAUGCUGGCUUCUUUUGAAAACUGCUCUCAACUACGACCAACGAUAACCACGUUGCAGAAGAUCGAGACCAAGACAGCAUUUUUCAUUCUGAUCGCGAUGGCAUCGUCACUGAAGCUUCUCGAGAAUCAAAAGGAAAAAAAUCGAGUCUGAAAAAGAACUUGAAAAAAAAAAAAAAAAAAAAAAAAGCGAGCCAAAUGGCCCAGCGAUGUGGAUGAAAAUUUUUUGUUUUUUCACCCUCGAGACCGUAUUGACCGUUCGAAAGAAAUGAAAAUUUCGCAGCCCCCACCUCGGCUGGCUCAUCUGCUCCAAGGUUUCGUUGCUUCGGCCAACAACUCGUAUCAGAAAUAUUAUCCUGCCAACAUCGAACUAAAGGCUUUCAUUGAGAGAAAUGAAAUUCGCAUCCAUCAAGAAAAUGUUCAGCCCACUCUGGAGCCUCGGAAACUGGCCUGAAUUUAGCGAAAAUUUGAGUGAUCCUUUAAUUUUGUGCACCAGUGUAUAAACGCUCGGAUGCGCGUGGGUGAGCUGAAGGGGGUAUAAAGGCUUCUCAAGUUUCAUCAAUUAAUCGCAAUCAGCUGUGGAGCCUGUUUGGAUUCGGCGAUGUCUGGUUUACCGGUGGCUCGGUUUGUCCCUGCAAGAUCUUUCGAUAUCGUUGAAGCAAUCGCAGAGGGACACUGCCGAACAAAACCCAAUUACAAGAGUCCCGUUUCAUCGUUAAUGAAUCAACGAAUUGCCGAGCAUUUGGCAUGGAGAGAAUUUUUGGUUUGGCGAAGUUUUGAUGCGAACGUGGAAGGUUCGUUGGGAAAGAAUAUCCAGUGGAAACUUGAAUCACUCUGAGAACGAGAAAUGUGUAUCAGCCCAAAAGAUCGUUGAAGUUUCUCUGAAGCGAGGAGGAUCACUGCCGAUCGAGGAACAGAAUUUUGCCAGGAAGUUCGGAAUCCGAUGUUGAACGUGCGAGAAAUUUUGUCAUAUUGCAAUGAAAAUGGAAACUUGAUGUAAACGAAGAUGAUUCGUCGGAGUUUUCGCACUCGUUCCCGACCACAGACAAUGCCUCUCCACCAACGUUUUUUUCUCGCCGAAACUCUAGUCACUCGCAUGAGACAAGAACGCGAGGAUCGAGUAGAAGCGGAGCCACGACACUUGACACCAAAUGUAGGGCGCUUUCGUGAAUUCUUCGAGAAAUCGUCAUGAUGAGACGAUCCGAUGAUCCGAACGUUUUCUUGUGCUUUUAAGCCCCCUUUUAAUGCCAAAUCCUGCAAAUUGACACGGUCAGUGAACGAAUGCUCAGUUUUUACUGUAGUUUGGGAAAAAAGUUGGAAAAUAUUUGGCAAUGAAAAAUAAUUGUCCCAAACCGAACUAAAUUUGGUUAGAAAUCUUAACAUUCGUUUUGCACUAUUUCUCUGACUUUAUUGGGACUGAAGAAAAAUUUAGGAUAUUGCAUGUUUGAGCGGCGACCGCCUUCAAUAAUUAUGCUGAAAAUGACCGAUUGAAAGACGUUCGAAUACUCGCAUAUAACCGAAUCGAAUGAAUGGAGAACGAAGAAUGAUUUCGCCACUGUAAUUCGAAUUCGUUUUUCCUUUUCUAUAAACAUGAUAUUUUUAUUUGGUGAGGAAAAAUUGAAGAGCGUUUCGUUACUAUUUUUCGUUAGAAUUUCAUCGAAUUUACGAAUUCUCUGGCAUCCGUUGUGUCGGGACUUUCUCAGUUAGAAAAAACCUCGAUUUUUAGCGAUUUAACGUGGAGCCUAAAUGAAGGGGCGAACGGGAACGAAUUAAUCGAGCGUAAAUUCUCUGUCCCAGAUUAGACAUUCGCAAAUAAAUUUUCAACGACCUUAAGGCUUCGGAGAUGCUCGUACGUGUGUACGGUUUGUUCAAGAGAAUGAGCGCGGGUAAUACGGGCACGACGCGUGAAUAUAGACGAAGGCUUAAGGUCGGAUUAUCGAGAAAUUUCGGAUUCUACUUUACCAGACGAUCUCGAGGCAAGAGGAGCAGCUCAGAAGAAUGGAGAAUUGGCGGAAUAAAGUAAGAGACAGAGGCCGAGAGUUAAUUUGUAGUAGUUGGAGGACGUGACGAGAUUGCCAUCCGAUAAAGAGACAAAGAAAGAGAAAAUCGGAGAGAAGGACAGAAAAAGAGGUAGGAAGAGGGCGAACGAGGGGAUGCUCACAUACAGUUAUGUUUUAUACUCAACAUUGGAUAAAGAAAGCGUCUCACUGUCAUCUAAAAAUACAUUAUCGAUUAUACAACCCACCUGGAUGAAAAUAACGCAAUACUACGAAUGUUUUGAGGCUCUGUAUACAUAAAUAGCGAAUUCCAACGAUUAUAUAAUUUGAGAGCUAUCCGAAGCUUUCCGGAAGUACAAAGUUUUCGUCCGAGUCAAGCAUCGUCCUGGGACGACGAAACGGACUGUAAGGAACGAGUGCACGAAUGUACGGCAGCAGCUUUUUUCAUUGGGCGAUAUCGGACACGAUUGGCAUAACUUUCGUUGGAAAAGAAUUUUUCUGUGCCAAGAGCGAGAGAAAGAAAACGGACGCCGAAGCAGAGAAGGGAAAGGGGAAUAUGAAGCUGGUUCGAGGUAAAUCGAGGAAACAGCAGCAGCAUAAGCCCUGAACGAGCCACGUGGUGUGGCGCGCGCGGGACAAUCAAUGUCGUGACGUCAUGCGACAACGAGCCAAUAGCACACGAGCUCCAUUCAACCCGCCAACCUCAGCCUUCUCUAUCGCCAGUGGAAACCCACCGAGUUCCGUCAGACUUUGCCUGACUGCAGUUCGUCCUCGACCACUGAAACGCGCGGUCGAGGAAACCAAGGCCCGCGAGUCUCCUCCUCUUCACUCAACCUUUUCCUCUUCGUUGCUGUUUUGAAAAUAAUUUCAAAACUCGUCACCAAAAGAAUCGAUAACCGAGGAAAAGAGAGUUUUUAGAACCUGGCAAAAGUCAUUUUUUUCUACCAGCAUUGCGAGGCUUUCAAUCAACAAAAUCAGAAAUCGAAAGAAAAAAGAUUGAAAAUAUUAUCAAGAACAUUUUCCCCGAGACGUUACUCUCGCAAAUAAAACUUGAUACUUUCGACAA